This 468-nucleotide ribosomal RNA is filed under the name uncultured bacterium. RNAcentral's name for it is "partial 16S ribosomal RNA". It matches the Rfam family "Bacterial small subunit ribosomal RNA", at positions 28 to 507 of the family's 1533-position model. The record is from RNAcentral.
GACGAACGCUGGCGGCGUGCUUAACACAUGCAAGUCGAACGGAAAGGCCCUGCUUUUGUGGUGUGCUCGAGUGGCGAACGGGUGAGUAACACGUGAGUAACCUGCCCUUGACUUUGGUAUAACUUAAGGAAACUGGGGCUACUACCGGAUAGGAUCUCCUGCUGCGUGGUGGGGGUUGGAAAGUUUCGGCGGGUGGGGAUGGAUUAGCGGCUUAUCAGCUUGUUUGUGGGGUAGUGGCUUACCAAGGCUUUGACGGGUAGCCGGCCUGAGAGGGUGACCGGCGACAUUGGUACUGAGGUACGGCCCAGACUCCUACGGGAGGCAGCAGUGGGGAAUAUUGCACAAUGGGCGGAAGCCUGAUGCAGCAACGCCGCGUGUGGGAUGACGGCCUGCGGGUUGUAAACCGCUUUAGCCUGUGACGAAGCGUGAGUGACGGUAAUGGGUAAAGAAGCACCGGCUAACUACGUG